This 139-nucleotide unclassified non-coding RNA is filed under the name Plasmid ColE1. RNAcentral describes it as "partial miscellaneous RNA". The record is from RNAcentral.
GCGGUAGCGUACUAUAAAGAUGGUGUUCCUUAUGAUGAUAAGGGACAGGUAAUUAUUACUCUUUUGAAUGGUACUCCUGACGGGAGUGGCUCUGGCGGCGGAGGUGGAAAAGGAGGCAGUAAAAGUGAAAGUUCUGCAG